This 466-nucleotide ribosomal RNA is filed under the name uncultured bacterium. Its description in RNAcentral is "partial 16S ribosomal RNA". It matches the Rfam family "Bacterial small subunit ribosomal RNA", at positions 28 to 507 of the family's 1533-position model. The record is from RNAcentral.
GACGAACGCUGGCGGUGUGCUUAACACAUGCAAGUCGAACGGUAAGGCCCUUUCGGGGGUACACGAGUGGCGAACGGGUGAGUAACACGUGAGUAACCUGCCCUCAUCUCUGGGAUAACAGUCGGAAACGGUUGCUAAUACUGGAUAUGAGCUUGCAAGGCAUCUUGUGGGUUGGAAAGAUUUUUUUGGUUGGGGAUGGACUCGCGGCCUAUCAGCUUGUUGGUGAGGUAGUGGCUCACCAAGGCUUCGACGGGUAGCCGGCCUGAGAGGGCGCCCGGCCACAUUGGGACUGAGAUACGGCCCAAACUCCUACGGGAGGCAGCAGUGGGGAAUAUUGCACAAUGGACGGAAGUCUGAUGCAGCAACGCCGCGUGCGGGAGGACGGCCUUCGGGUUGUAAACCGCUUUCAAUUGUGACGAAGCUUUUUGUGACGGUAGCAGUAGAAGAAGCACCGGCUAACUACGUG